Molecule: ribosomal RNA, 429 nt
Filed under: Bacteroidota bacterium
Lineage: Bacteria; Pseudomonadati; Bacteroidota
Description: Bacteroidetes bacterium partial 16S ribosomal RNA
Rfam family: Bacterial small subunit ribosomal RNA
Source: RNAcentral
UAGGGAAUCUUCCGCAAUGGGCGAAAGCCUGACGGAGCAACGCCGCGUGAGUGAUGAAGGUCUUCGGAUCGUAAAACUCUGUUAUUAGGGAAGAAUAAAUGUGUAAGUAACUAUGCACGUCUUGACGGUACCUAAUCAGAAAGCCACGGCUAACUACGUGCCAGCAGCCGCGGUAAUACGUAGGUGGCAAGCGUUAUCCGGAAUUAUUGGGCGUAAAGCGCGCGUAGGCGGUUUUUUAAGUCUGAUGUGAAAGCCCACGGCUCAACCGUGGAGGGUCAUUGGAAACUGGAAAACUUGAGUGCAGAAGAGGAAAGUGGAAUUCCAUGUGUAGCGGUGAAAUGCGUAGAUAUAUGGAGGAACACCGGUGGCGAAAGCGGCUCUCUGGUCUGUAACUGACGAUGAGGCUCGAAAGCGUGGGGAGCGAACAGG